RNAcentral lists this ribosomal RNA (468 nucleotides) under Escherichia coli. RNAcentral's name for it is "bacterial SSU rRNA". It matches the Rfam family "Bacterial small subunit ribosomal RNA", at positions 1 to 465 of the family's 1533-position model. Lineage: Bacteria; Pseudomonadati; Pseudomonadota; Gammaproteobacteria; Enterobacterales; Enterobacteriaceae. The record is from RNAcentral. RNAcentral also lists the same sequence under 1 other name.
AAAUUGAAGAGUUUGAUCAUGGCUCAGAUUGAACGCUGGCGGCAGGCCUAACACAUGCAAGUCGAACGGUAACAGGAAACAGCUUGCUGUUUCGCUGACGAGUGGCGGACGGGUGAGUAAUGUCUGGGAAACUGCCUGAUGGAGGGGGAUAACUACUGGAAACGGUAGCUAAUACCGCAUAAUGUCGCAAGACUAAAGAGGGGGACCUUCGGGCCUCUUGCCAUCGGAUGUGCCCAGAUGGGAUUAGCUAGUAGGUGGGGUAACGGCUCACCUAGGCGACGAUCCCUAGCUGGUCUGAGAGGAUGACCAGCCACACUGGAACUGAGACACGGUCCAGACUCCUACGGGAGGCAGCAGUGGGGAAUAUUGCACAAUGGGCGCAAGCCUGAUGCAGCCAUGCCGCGUGUAUGAAGAAGGCCUUCGGGUUGUAAAGUACUUUCAGCGGGGAGGAAGGGAGUAAAGUUAAUA